UGGACACUGCGCCCUGACACCAACUACUGCCGCCACUCCAGUAUUAGCGUCUGUUACUACGCCGCGGAGCUCUACAAUUCCUGAGAUCAUUUAGUGGUUACUCCUUACCUUCCUGGCUUGCCACACCUGGACCUGUCCUGCUGCGGAAGUUUGUUCGUAAUUCCAAAUCGGAUCCGUUAGUGGAAGAAGUUGAUCUCGAGAGUGCUACACCACACUACGCUCACAUUAGCCAUCCGGAUGGGAGAAGGUCUACCGUCUCUACGAGGGACCUGGCUCCAACCCCUAAGGAACAGACAACCAUGCAAGAGAACAUCAAUGGGACAACACCCACUGAAGAGAUUUCGGCUCCAGAACCGACUUCUACCGAUGACAGCGAUGGAGGGGCAGCCACUCCUGACGCUUGUUACCCAGCCUCCGAUGACACUAGACUUCCGGACACAAGAAAAAGCGACUCGCCCGAAACUUCCGAGGAAAGACCUGAACCACUAAGACGUUCAACAAGAGUCAGGAAAGCUCCGGAUAGACUAGGCGUGUGAUAUGUACGUAGUUAUUUGUAAGAGGGGGAGAAUGUGGUGAUUCUAUAGUUUAAGUUGUCUGUAUUUGUUGGGGUUUUAGUGCUUGUUCGUUUUAGUGUUUCAUAUGUAUCGUUCGGGAUAGGUGAUUCGUAUGUAAUAUGAAUCGUAUUAUAUGGUUUCGAAACUAACGUAUCUAGUUUCUUCGUCGAUGAAGCCAGUGCACUCGGGCUGCAGGUACUGUACGCACCUAGGGUUUUCUUGCCGAGUAAAGCCUAGAGAAAAGGG
Eriocheir sinensis (Chinese mitten crab) is the source of this 800-nucleotide long non-coding RNA. RefSeq lists it as uncharacterized. The record is from RefSeq and is a predicted model, not a curated record. The transcript is spliced from 2 exons. NCBI's taxonomy places the organism in Eukaryota, Metazoa, Arthropoda, Malacostraca, Decapoda, Varunidae.